CUAGCCUUCAUCGAUCGCUGCCCAAUCAGCGAUCAGGUUUGGUAGACCUGAGUG
This is a non-coding RNA of Pseudomonas syringae pv. japonica str. M301072, 54 nucleotides long. The record is from Rfam. Lineage: Bacteria; Pseudomonadati; Pseudomonadota; Gammaproteobacteria; Pseudomonadales; Pseudomonadaceae.